This 425-nucleotide ribosomal RNA is filed under the name uncultured bacterium. RNAcentral's name for it is "partial 16S ribosomal RNA". It matches the Rfam family "Bacterial small subunit ribosomal RNA", at positions 354 to 796 of the family's 1533-position model. The record is from RNAcentral.
GUGGGGAAUAUUGGACAAUGGGCGAAAGCCUGAUCCAGCAAUGCCGCGUGAGUGAUGAAGGCCCUAGGGUUGUAAAGCUCUUUUACCCGGGAUGAUAAUGACAGUACCGGGAGAAUAAGCUCCGGCUAACUUCGUGCCAGCAGCCGCGGUAAUACGAGGGGAGCUAGCGUUGUUCGGAAUUACUUGGCGUAAAGCGCGCGUAGGCGGUUUUUUAAGUCAGAGGUGAAAGCCCGGGGCUCAAACCCGGAAUUGCCUUUGAAACUGGAAAACUAGAAUCUUGGAGAGGUCAGUGGAAUUCCGAGUGUAGAGGUGAAAUUCGUAGAUAUUCGGAAGAACACCAGUGGCGAAGGCGACUGACUGGACAAGUAUUGACGCUGAGGUGCGAAAGCGUGGGGAGCAAACAGGAUUAGAAACCCGAGUAGUCC